CCUACGGGAGGCAGCAGUGGGGGAUAUUGCACAAUGGAGGAAACUCUGAUGCAGCGACGCCGCGUGAGCGAUGAAGUAUUUCGGUAUGUAAAGCUCUAUCAGCAGGGAAGAAAAUGACGGUACCUGACUAAGAAGCCCCGGCUAACUACGUGCCAGCAGCCGCGGUAAUACGUAGGGGGCAAGCGUUAUCCGGAUUUACUGGGUGUAAAGGGAGCGUAGACGGUGUGGCAAGUCUGAUGUGAAAGGCAUGGGCUCAACCUGUGGACUGCAUUGGAAACUGUCAUACUUGAGUGCCGGAGGGGUAAGCGGAAUUCCUAGUGUAGCGGUGAAAUGCUUAGAUAUCACGAAGAACUCCGAUUGCGAAGGCAGCCUGCUAAGCUGCAACUGACAUUGAGGCUCGAAAGUGUGGGUAUCAAACAGGAUU
This 424-nucleotide ribosomal RNA is filed under the name uncultured Pantoea sp. RNAcentral's name for it is "bacterial SSU rRNA". It matches the Rfam family "Bacterial small subunit ribosomal RNA", at positions 338 to 779 of the family's 1533-position model. The record is from RNAcentral. Lineage: Bacteria; Pseudomonadati; Pseudomonadota; Gammaproteobacteria; Enterobacterales; Erwiniaceae.